Sus scrofa (pig) is the source of this 1490-nucleotide long non-coding RNA. RefSeq lists it as uncharacterized. NCBI's taxonomy places the organism in Eukaryota, Metazoa, Chordata, Mammalia, Artiodactyla, Suidae. The record is from RefSeq and is a predicted model, not a curated record.
AACCCACUGAGCAAGGCCAGGGAUGGAACCCAACCUCAUGGUUCCCAGUCGGAUUCGUGAACCACUGCGCCACGAGGGGAACUCCUACCACAGAAGUUCUUGAGUCUCAGCGCUGUACACCUCCAGAUGCCAGGGCUGCACUGUGGAUACCCAACCAGGGUCCCGAAGAAAAUAGCAGCAGCCGGUCCUCCUUGCCGGGCGACGCCUUUGGAACCCAGGGCCUUAUGGCCCCCUGUUUUAUCGGGCAUGAGACCGAUGGUGACUCUCUCUCCCCCGCCUCGCCCCCGCGGGAGAAGCGACAUGGAGGAGACGCUUGGAAACGUCCAUCUAGACGAACUUCCAGCCAGGAGAGGAUGCUGAGCUCCCAGAGUGGAUGACGGAGGUGGUAACAUCCUUCCCCACCCCCACCCGACCUUGCCAGAUACAUGAAAACUCUGGAAUUGAUAAAGGCAGAGAGGCAGGGGCGGGGGAGGGCAGAAUGGUCCGGAGUGUGGUCUGGUCCUGGACUGUGAAGGCCAUGGUUUUGAACCGGUUCUUGGGAGUCUCGCGGGCAUCCUUCUUGCUGCAGGCCGCGUUUGGGGUGAGGGUCCGUCUUUCAGGCACGUAGCAUGGGUCAGCCUGCCUCCCCUGGUCUGGUGGGACUGGUUUUUCUAGCUGGUGGAGGGGUCGGUGAGGAGUUGGCAGGGGCAGAGGGUUUUAUGUAAAUGCCCAGGGAGUGCUCUGGGAACAGGGAGGCUGGUUUUCUCAAAGACACGCAGGGACUGGCAGCUCCCAAUUAGCCAGGCUGGGUGAUGUCACUGCUGCUUUCCUGGGUGGCUGCGCCCACUCCGACUGGCCUUGGCAGAGGUUCCUGGCCAUUACCUUCUCCCUUGGGUGGGAGGGGUGCCAAGGGGGCCCCCCUGCAGGACAGAUGCCAGGUCCCCUCCCAGCAUAUUCCCCCACCUGGGGCCCAAACCGUGUUGUGGACCAGCCCUGGAAAGGGCCGUGAAAAACCACCGCAGACUCUACUGAAAGACUUUAAUGUGGCUGAUCUUUGAACCCUCCCCACAAACCCGACAGGCUGGGGAGCACUCCGUGUGCUGGGCGGGGCCCAGAGACUGUUGCCAUGGCAGCCGCAGGGCAGCUUUGCGGCACCAACAUGAGUUUCAAUAAAUAGAGGGCAAAGGGGCUUUGGUCGCCCACCAAGCGGGGCAGACAAAGACCUGGAGUGCUGGACACAGCACACUGUCUGUCGCGUCUGUCACCUCACACAUGCACACCAUCAAGGAUACACACCUAGGAUCAUGGGCCCCCGCAGACCCCUGUCAGACGUCCUCACAUGACACACCGUCUUCAGACACACGCACGCGUGCACAAACACGUGCCGCAUGCACACACACACACACACACACACACACACACGCAUACAUACACAUACACAUGCUUUCCUCAGACCUUCCGGAUCGAGCUCAUCUUCCUUGCAGCCUCACACGAGGUUACCCACGCCUCCC